RNAcentral lists this ribosomal RNA (210 nucleotides) under Loigolactobacillus coryniformis subsp. coryniformis. RNAcentral's name for it is "Lactobacillus coryniformis subsp. coryniformis partial 23S ribosomal RNA". It matches the Rfam family "Bacterial large subunit ribosomal RNA", at positions 2718 to 2925 of the family's 2925-position model. Lineage: Bacteria; Bacillati; Bacillota; Bacilli; Lactobacillales; Lactobacillaceae. The record is from RNAcentral.
CAGUUGUGCCGCCAGGCGCAUCGCUGGGUAGCUAAGUAUGGCCGGGAUAAACGCUGAAAGCAUCUAAGUGUGAAGCCCCCCACAAGAUGAGAUUUCCCAUUCCUUUAUGGAAGUAAGACCCCUGAAAGAUGAUCAGGUAGAUAGGUUGGAAGUGGACGUGUCGUGAGGCAUGGAGCGGACCAAUACUAAUCGGUCGAGGACUUAACCAAG